CCUACGGGAGGCAGCAGUGGGGAAUAUUGCACAAUGGGGGAAACCCUGAUGCAGCGACGCCGCGUGAGUGAAGAAGUAUUUCUGUAUGUAAAGCUCUAUCAGCAGGGAAGAAAAUGACGGUACGUGUUUAAGAUGCCCCGGCUAACUACGUGCCAGCCGCCGCGGCACUACGUAGGGGGCAGGCGUUAUCCGGAUUUACUGGGUGUAAAGGGAGCGUAGACGGCAGCGCAAGUCAGAAGUGAAAUGCCGGGGCUUAACCCCGGAACUGCUUUUGAAACUGUGCGGCUAGAGUGCAGGAGCGGUAAGUGGAAUUCCUGGUGUAGCGGUGAAAUGCGUAGAUAUUAGGAAGAACACCAGUUGCGAAGGCAGCUUACUGGACUGUAACUGACGUUGAGGCUCGAAAGCGUGGGGAGCAAACAGGAUUAGAUACCCGAGUAGUC
This 440-nucleotide ribosomal RNA is filed under the name uncultured bacterium. RNAcentral describes it as "partial 16S ribosomal RNA". It matches the Rfam family "Bacterial small subunit ribosomal RNA", at positions 338 to 795 of the family's 1533-position model. The record is from RNAcentral.